Transfer RNA from Haloquadratum sp. J07HQX50, 73 nucleotides. It matches the Rfam family "tRNA". From Rfam's summary of the family: Transfer RNA (tRNA) molecules are approximately 80 nucleotides in length. Their secondary structure includes four short double-helical elements and three loops (D, anti-codon, and T loops). NCBI's taxonomy places the organism in Archaea, Methanobacteriati, Methanobacteriota, Halobacteria, Halobacteriales, Haloferacaceae. The record is from Rfam.
GGGCUUGUGGUCUAGUGGUUAUGACGCUUCCCUUACAAGGAAGAGGCCGGCGGUUCGAGUCCGCCCGAGCCCA